RNAcentral lists this ribosomal RNA (497 nucleotides) under uncultured bacterium. Its description in RNAcentral is "partial 16S ribosomal RNA". It matches the Rfam family "Bacterial small subunit ribosomal RNA", at positions 28 to 507 of the family's 1533-position model. The record is from RNAcentral.
GAUGAACGCUGGCGGCGUGCCUAAUACAUGCAAGUCGAGCGAACAGACGAGGAGCUUGCUCCUCUGACGUUAGCGGCGGACGGGUGAGUAACACGUGGAUAACCUACCUAUAAGACUGGGAUAACUACGGGAAACCGGAGCUAAUACCGGAUAAUAUAUUGUACCGCAUGGUUCAAUAGUGAAAGACGCAUUUGCUGUCAUUUAUAGAUGGAUCCGCGCCGCAUUAGCUAGUUGGUAAGGUAACGGCUUACCAAGGCAACGAAGCGUAGCCGACCUGAGAGGGUGAUCGGCCACACUGGAACUGAGACACGGUCCAGACUCCUACGGGAGGAAGCAGUAGGGAAUCUUCCGCAAUGGGCGAAAGCCUGACGGAGCAACGCCGCGUGAGUGAUGAAGGUCUUCGGAUCGUAAAACUCUGUUAUUAGGGAAGAACAAAUGUGUAAGUAACUAUGCACGUCUUGACGGUACCUAAUCAGAAAGCCACGGCUAACUACGUG